Molecule: long non-coding RNA, 388 nt
Organism: Scomber japonicus (chub mackerel)
Lineage: Eukaryota; Metazoa; Chordata; Actinopteri; Scombriformes; Scombridae
Exons: 3
Source: RefSeq, a predicted model, not a curated record
GGGGGAUAAUAAAAGGAGGAUAAAGGAGGAGGAGGUGGGGAGAGGAGGAGAGGGGAGGUGUAACAGUUCACUAUUCAUCCUGGUCUGUAUGUGUGUUGUAGAUAUAGAGAGAGGAAGAGGAGGAGGAAGAGGAAGAGGAGGAGGAAGAGGAAGAGGAGGAAGGUGGCAGCACUACUUUAAUAUGUGGAAGUUGGAAGAUUCAGGCUUAAAGAUUGUAGAUGUCAUUAUGUGAGUUUAAACAAUAAAACAAAAAAAAAACCACAGAAGAAGAAGAAGAGCAGGUUAGAGGAGGAGAGUUAGAGGAGGAGAGGAGAGAAGAAGAGCAGGUUAGAGGAGGAGAGAAGAAGGAGAGGAGGAGAGGAGAGAAGAAGAGCAGGUUAGAGGAGGA